CUGAAUUGCUCAGCUCACUAUAUUGUUCUUCCCUUGCUAAUGGUAAUCUGAUCUUAAGUGGGGUCAUCACUUCUGUUCCAUAUGCCAGGUUGAAUGGCGAUUCUCCCGUUGGUAUGCGAGGCAUUGUUCGAUAUGCCCAUAAAAUCGGAUAUAGUUCUUCCACCCAGAGGUCUUUAGCUUUAUUCAGUCUGAUUUUAAGUCCAUG
Molecule: long non-coding RNA, 205 nt
Filed under: Elaeis guineensis (African oil palm)
Lineage: Eukaryota; Viridiplantae; Streptophyta; Magnoliopsida; Arecales; Arecaceae
Description: long non-coding RNA (EGUI_LNC030950)
Source: RNAcentral